Small nucleolar RNA from Tachyglossus aculeatus (Australian echidna), 143 nucleotides. NCBI's taxonomy places the organism in Eukaryota, Metazoa, Chordata, Mammalia, Monotremata, Tachyglossidae. The record is from RefSeq and is a predicted model, not a curated record.
CCCCUCUCAGGGUCGCACCUGGAGAGUUUCCAAUACUCUACCAGUUUUGGCUACGGGAGGUGGGGGAGAGUCAAGCAGAGGCCUACUCAUUCCAUUCCUAGCUUGGGCAGUGGCUAGCGAGUGAAAGGCAAACUGCUAUAAGU